This 253-nucleotide ribosomal RNA is filed under the name uncultured bacterium. RNAcentral describes it as "partial 16S ribosomal RNA". It matches the Rfam family "Bacterial small subunit ribosomal RNA", at positions 524 to 776 of the family's 1533-position model. The record is from RNAcentral.
UACGUAGGUGACAAGCGUUGUCCGGAUUUACUGGGCGUAAAGGGCGUGCAGGCGGUCUUGCAAGUCCGAUGUGAAAGCCCCGGGCUCAACCCGGGAAGUGCAUCGGAAACCGCGAGACUUGAGUACGGGAGAGGGCAGUGGAAUUCCUGGAGUAGGGGUGAAAUCCGUAGAUAUCAGGAAGAACACCAGUGGCGAAGGCGGCUCACUGGCCCGAUACUGACGCUGAGGCACGAAAGCGUGGGGAGCAAACAGG